AACGAACGCUGGCGGCAUGCCUAACACAUGCAAGUCGAACGAGACCUUCGGGUCUAGUGGCGCACGGGUGCGUAACGCGUGGGAACCUGCCCUUAGGUUCGGAAUAACUCCCCGAAAGGGGUGCUAAUACCGGAUAAUGUCUUCGGACCAAAGAUUUAUCGCCUUUGGAUGGGCCCGCGUUGGAUUAGGUAGUUGGUAGGGUAAAAGCCUACCAAGGCGUCGAUCCAUAGCUGGUCAGAGAGGAUGAUCAGCCACACUGGGACUGAGACACGGCCCAGACUCCUACGGGAGGCAGCAGUGGGGAAUAUUGGAAAAUGGGGGAAAGCCUGAUCCAGCAAUGCCGCGUGAGUGAUGAAGGCCUUAGGGUUGUAAAGCUCUUUUACCCGGGAUGAUAAUGACAGUACCGGGAGAAUAAGCGCCGGCUAACUCCGUG
This 433-nucleotide ribosomal RNA is filed under the name uncultured bacterium. RNAcentral describes it as "partial 16S ribosomal RNA". It matches the Rfam family "Bacterial small subunit ribosomal RNA", at positions 29 to 507 of the family's 1533-position model. The record is from RNAcentral.